This is a long non-coding RNA of Sycon ciliatum, 704 nucleotides long. RefSeq lists it as uncharacterized. The transcript has 3 exons. The record is from RefSeq and is a predicted model, not a curated record. Lineage: Eukaryota; Metazoa; Porifera; Calcarea; Leucosolenida; Sycettidae.
UCCAACGAGCUCCAGUGUUCUUUUUCUGAAGUUAUGAGUUGGGGAAUGCUUGAAAGUGCAUCCUCUUCAUAAAAUUGACUACAACUUCUCUAGCACUACACAUGCUGUACUGGCUGGCCGGUCAGGAAAAAUAGUGUUUACCGCUUCAACGAAGUUCUUAUAUCAACCUCGGUUGUAUGUACAAUGUACUGGUAGCUGCUUGCCAACAACAACAAAAACACUUUUCGAUAUUAGCUUUGGGUGCUUGACGCUGUUGAGAGUUGGCUAGCGCCUCCCAAGGAUGCCAGAGUUUGUCCUGCCGCGGCGGAGACCCCAGCACGGAUUGGCGAAGACGAAGGCUUAACGCGGCCGACGGAUAAGAAAAAGCGGCUGCCAAGCGUGCCGCGUAAAUGACAAGACGUACAAAUCAGGCGCCAGGAACAUGCCGUCAAUGGACCGAAGCCUCAGGAAAUUACGUGUCACCUCCAUGAACCUAGCCGAGAUGAGGAGAACCAAGCCGGACUAUUCUUCCUGGAGAAGAAGUGUUUUCUUCUUGGCUUGCUGAUGGCUGAACUCUCGUUGUUUCUGUAUGAGGAAGGAGAAAACAAGCCACAACAUUCUACCGGAGAAGAAAGAAGAAAAUGUUUCUGCAUGAGGAAGGAGAACUAAGCCGGACUAUUCUUCCUGGAGAAGAAGUGUUUUCUUCUUGGCUUGCUGAUGGCUGA